Molecule: ribosomal RNA, 520 nt
Filed under: Rhodosporidiobolus ruineniae
Lineage: Eukaryota; Fungi; Basidiomycota; Microbotryomycetes; Sporidiobolales; Sporidiobolaceae
Description: LSU rRNA
Rfam family: Eukaryotic large subunit ribosomal RNA
Source: RNAcentral
AACUAACAAGGAUUCCCCUAGUAGCGGCGAGCGAAGCGGGAAGAGCUCAAAUUUAUAAUCUGGCGCUUUCAGCGUCCGAGUUGUAAUCUCUAGAAGUGUUUUCCGCGUUGGACCGCACAUAAGUCUGUUGGAAUACAGCGGCACAGUGGUGAGACCCCCGUUCACGGUGCGGAUGCCCAAUGCUUUGUGAUACACUUUCGAAGAGUCGAGUUGUUUGGGAAUGCAGCUCAAAUUGGGUGGUAAAUUCCAUCUAAAGCUAAAUAUUGGCGAGAGACCGAUAGCGAACAAGUACCGUGAGGGAAAGAUGAAAAGCACUUUGGAAAGAGAGUUAACAGUACGUGAAAUUGUUGGAAGGGAAACGCUUGAAGUCAGACUUGCUAUUCGGGGCUUGCUCCGAGUUGCAGGCCAGCAUCAGUUUUUCGGGGCGGAAAAUCACGGAUUGAAGGUAGCAGUUUCGGCUGUGUUAUAGCUUUCCGUUGGAUACGUCCUGGGGGACUGAGGAACGCAGUGUGCUUUUAGC